UUUUUUUUUUUUUUUUUGAUGGUUGUUUUUUUUUCCUACUCAAAUAAGUGGGAAUAUUUGGGCUACUCUGCUAAAAUCAGUGCUCUUCCCAAUGAAUAUUAUUGGUUUUCACUUGCACUCUGGGGUCUGGGCAUGCAUAAGGGAUCCCCUUCACUACUUGCUGAAAUUUUAUUUCAUAUGAGCAACAUGCAAGUUUGGGAUCCUUAUGUUAUUUGGUUUUAGAUUAUAAUUUAGUUUCUCUACAUGCUUCAGGUAUGUGCUCCAUCAUGCCAUGA
Molecule: unclassified non-coding RNA, 275 nt
Filed under: Hevea brasiliensis (rubber tree)
Lineage: Eukaryota; Viridiplantae; Streptophyta; Magnoliopsida; Malpighiales; Euphorbiaceae
Source: RNAcentral